CCUACGGGAGGCAGCAGUGAGGAAUAUUGGUCAAUGGACGAGAGUCUGAACCAGCCAAGUAGCGUGAAGGAUGACUGCCCUAUGGGUUGUAAACUUCUUUUAUAUGGGAAUAAAAUGUUCCACGUGUGGGAUUUUGUAUGUACCAUAUGAAUAAGGAUCGGCUAACUCCGUGCCAGCAGCCGCGGUAAUACGGAGGAUCCAAGCGUUAUCCGGAUUUACUGGGUGUAAAGGGAGCGUAGGUGGGUUAGUAAGUCAGUUGUGAAAGUGUGCGGCUUAACCGUAAAAUUGCAGUUGAAACUGGUAGUCUGGAGUAUAGUAGAGGUGGGUGGAAUUCGUGGUGUAGCGGUGAAAUGCUUAGAGAUCAAGAAGAAUACUGAUUGCGAAGGCAGCCCACUGGACUGCAACUGACACUGAGGCUCGAAAGUGUGGGUAUCAAACAGGAUUAGAUACCCUGGUAGUC
RNAcentral lists this ribosomal RNA (460 nucleotides) under uncultured bacterium. RNAcentral describes it as "partial 16S ribosomal RNA". It matches the Rfam family "Bacterial small subunit ribosomal RNA", at positions 338 to 795 of the family's 1533-position model. The record is from RNAcentral.